GGUUAAGCGACUAAGCGUACACGGUGGAUGCCCUGGCAGUCAGAGGCGAUGAAGGACGUGCUAAUCUGCGAUAAGCGUCGGUAAGGUGAUAUGAACCGUUAUAACCGGCGAUUUCCGAAUGGGGAAACCCAGUGUGAUUCGUCACACUAUCAUUAACUGAAUCCAUAGGUUAAUGAGGCGAACCGGGGGAACUGAAACAUCUAAGUACCCCGAGGAAAAGAAAUCAACCGAGAUUCCCCCAGUAGCGGCGAGCGAACGGGGAGCAGCCCAGAGCCUGAAUCAGUGUGUGUGUUAGUGGAAGCGUCUGGAAAGGCGUGCGAUACAGGGUGACAGCCCCGUACACAAAAAUGCACAUACUGUGAGCUCGAUGAGUAGGGCGGGACACGUGGUAUCCUGUCUGAAUAUGGGGGGACCAUCCUCCAAGGCUAAAUACUCCUGACUGACCGAUAGUGAACCAGUACCGUGAGGGAAAGGCGAAAAGAACCCCGGCGAGGGGAGUGAAAAAGAACCUGAAACCGUGUACGUACAAGCAGUGGGAGCACGCUUAGGCGUGUGACUGCGUACCUUUUGUAUAAUGGGUCAGCGACUUAUAUUCUGUAGCAAGGUUAACCGAAUAGGGGAGCCGAAGGGAAACCGAGUCUUAACUGGGCGUUAAGUUGCAGGGUAUAGACCCGAAACCCGGUGAUCUAGCCAUGGGCAGGUUGAAGGUUGGGUAACACUAACUGGAGGACCGAACCGACUAAUGUUGAAAAAUUAGCGGAUGACUUGUGGCUGGGGGUGAAAGGCCAAUCAAACCGGGAGAUAGCUGGUUCUCCCCGAAAGCUAUUUAGGUAGCGCCUCGUGAAUUCAUCUCCGGGGGUAGAGCACUGUUUCGGCAAGGGGGUCAUCCCGACUUACCAACCCGAUGCAAACUGCGAAUACCGGAGAAUGUUAUCACGGGAGACACACGGCGGGUGCUAACGUCCGUCGUGAAGAGGGAAACAACCCAGACCGCCAGCUAAGGUCCCAAAGUCAUGGUUAAGUGGGAAACGAUGUGGGAAGGCCCAGACAGCCAGGAUGUUGGCUUAGAAGCAGCCAUCAUUUAAAGAAAGCGUAAUAGCUCACUGGUCGAGUCGGCCUGCGCGGAAGAUGUAACGGGGCUAAACCAUGCACCGAAGCUGCGGCAGCGACGCUUAUGCGUUGUUGGGUAGGGGAGCGUUCUGUAAGCCUGUGAAGGUGUGCUGUGAGGUAUGCUGGAGGUAUCAGAAGUGCGAAUGCUGACAUAAGUAACGAUAAAGCGGGUGAAAAGCCCGCUCGCCGGAAGACCAAGGGUUCCUGUCCAACGUUAAUCGGGGCAGGGUGAGUCGACCCCUAAGGCGAGGCCGAAAGGCGUAGUCGAUGGGAAACAGGUUAAUAUUCCUGUACUUGGUGUUACUGCGAAGGGGGGACGGAGAAGGCUAUGUUGGCCGGGCGACGGUUGUCCCGGUUUAAGCGUGUAGGCUGGUUUUCCAGGCAAAUCCGGAAAAUCAAGGCCGAGGCGUGAUGACGAGGCACUACGGUGCUGAAGCAACAAAUGCCCUGCUUCCAGGAAAAGCCUCUAAGCAUCAGGUA
Molecule: ribosomal RNA, 1590 nt
Filed under: Shigella flexneri
Lineage: Bacteria; Pseudomonadati; Pseudomonadota; Gammaproteobacteria; Enterobacterales; Enterobacteriaceae
Description: partial 23S ribosomal RNA
Rfam family: Bacterial large subunit ribosomal RNA
Source: RNAcentral